This 2236-nucleotide long non-coding RNA is filed under the name Theobroma cacao (cacao). Its description in RNAcentral is "long non-coding RNA (TCAC_LNC006032)". The record is from RNAcentral. Lineage: Eukaryota; Viridiplantae; Streptophyta; Magnoliopsida; Malvales; Malvaceae.
AAGAAAAACACUAGAUUGAAAGUUGAGACUCAAGCUACAAAGUCAUUGAAGCUGAGAAGAUUUUGGAGGAUUCAAGAAGACUUGGAAGAUCAAGAUUAUAAUUCUUGACUUUAUUCUUUUUGAUUAUUCAUUUAUUUUCUUAGUUUGUUUUUAUUGUUUAAACUUAUUCAAUGAUGAUGUGUGACUUGAUGGGGAACUAAAUUGUUAAUUUAAGAUUAUGAUUAGAACUCAAUAAGUAGUCUGAAUUAUUUAUUGCUCUUUUACUUAUGUUUGAUAGAUUUAAGUUGUUUAUUUUAUUCUGUUCUUAAUGCUUCUAAUUGUCGAAUCACUAAUUAAAUUGAAUUGGAAACAUAGAUUAAACCUUGAUGAAGGAGAUUUAGGUAGACUUUGAAUAGAAUAACAUAUGAUCGAAUACACUUAGUUGAUUAGGUGGUUUGAUUUGCAUAUAGGGUAGACAUACACUUAUAAGUCAUACGAAGCCAAGAUUAUAACACAAACUUAAUGAAUCUUUUUUCAAUUUAAUUUGCAUAGACAUAUAGUAAAAUAAUUGAGAAAGGUAUUUUUAUGAGAAACUCGACAGAGACUUGUAAAUAAUUUAGGACUUUAGGUUCUCAAUUUAAUCCAUUAAACUAAGUUAAGAGAGAGAGACAAUAAUCAGAUGAAAUAUUGAGGGAUAUUAUAAUCUUAGGUCUGGUAGUUAAGUGAGUAUUAUUUGCUAUUUAAUUUUAGUUUUAGUUAUUAGUUUUAAUUUUUUUUAUUUCAAUUGUUUAGAUAAAAUUAGGGUGUUAUAAUUUUAGUAGUUAACAGCAAGAAUUAAACAAUUCUCCAUGGGAAUGAUACUCUACUUCAUUGCUAUAUUACUUGUUAAAAAUACGUGCACUUGCGUGAGUAGAAAAUUGAACAAGGAGUUUUUGAAGUCGUUGCCGGGGAAUUGAUUUUUAAUUCUUUCUUAUUAAUAUUAAUACCAAACAUUCCUAAUCUUACUUUAAACUCUUCUUUUUAUUUUCAGAUACUUUUCAUUGAGAUGAUAAACUAUCUGUGGCCAUUUGAACAAUUUGUGCCUAAGAGGGUUGCUAGUGAUUAUGCAUUGGAUGCAAUCAGUGUUUUAGCCAUCCAAGUAUAUGUUUUGUCUCAGAAAAUUAAUGCUUGGGGUGAUAAUGCUUUUCAAAGUGCUUUUGUGACAUGUGAGCUUUGUGGAGAUAGGCAUUUAAGUGAUUGUUGUCCAACCUAUUACAAAUCAAUGCAAUUUGAUGGAAGCUUCGAUGGGCAACAAAAUAAGCCAUACUCCAACAAUUACAACUCAGGAUGGAAUCACAAAUAUUUUUCAUUGAGUAAUGAUCAUGGUCCUAAAUAUUUAUCAUAGCCUAUUUUCCAUAAUGGUUUUCAGUCACAAGUUAGAGCUCUUACGCUAGAGAAGAAGCCUUCAAUAGAGGAUACAUUCAUGUAAUUCAUGACAAAGAUUGAUGCCUUCAUGACAAAGACAGAUGUCUUCAUGACAAAGACUGAUGCCAUCAUUCAAAGUCAAGCAGAAUCAAUCGAUAUCUUGAGACACAAGUGGGUCAACUAGCUAGUGCAAUCAAUAAUAGACUUCAAGAUGAUGGAGAUAAAGUAAAUCAAGGAAAUACAUCCAGCAAUCAAGUUCAAGAUGAAGAAAUUAAGCAAGAAGAGGAAAUAUUUACAUCACUACAAGUCAAGUCAUCUGUGCCUCCCAUUCCUUUUUUGGAUACAGUUGAUGAGUUACUUAAAGAGGUUAUAGCAAAAGCGCAUUAUUCAAGAAUAAAUCAAUUUGAGAAGUUAAAUAAAAGUCAGCCUAUUCCACCACCUUGGGUUAAGCAAGCAUCAAAUAUUGAGUUAAAAGCACUACAACCUCAUUUUAAGAGAAGGCUACUUUCACAACUCAAGCUUUUUCCAUGCAAAGUCAAGCUAUUGACUAUAAAGAAGCGCUUCUUGGGAGGCAACCCAAGCUUUCAAAACUCUUAUUUUUUUGUUAUUUAUUUAUUUAUUUUCAUUAAUCUCUAUUUAUUUUUUUCAGUGAAAAAAUUUUUCUUAUAAGUGACAAUGAGGAUGAUGAGGAGGAAGAUUAGAGCUUCACAAAAUUCAUCCAAUCAUUAGGAGAGUGUUCUUUACCUUUCUUUUAUUUUUUCUAACAUUGAGGACAAUGUUUAAUUUAAGUUUUGGGGGUGAAUUUAUUUUUCUGGUGGUAAAUAUUCUGUGGGAAUGUUAGAUUUAAUUUUAU